This 301-nucleotide ribosomal RNA is filed under the name uncultured bacterium. RNAcentral describes it as "partial 16S ribosomal RNA". It matches the Rfam family "Bacterial small subunit ribosomal RNA", at positions 509 to 807 of the family's 1533-position model. The record is from RNAcentral.
CAGCAGCCGCGGGAAUACGUAGGGUGCAAGCGUUAAUCGGAAUUACUGGGCGUAAAGCGUGCGCAGGCGGUUAUAUAAGACAGAUGUGAAAUCCCCGGGCUCAACCUGGGAACUGCAUUUGUGACUGUAUAGCUAGAGUACGGCAGAGGGGGAUGGAAUUCCGCGUGUAGCAGUGAAAUGCGUAGAUAUGCGGAGGAACACCGAUGGCGAAGGCAAUCCCCUGGGCCUGUACUGACGCUCAUGCACGAAAGCGUGGGGAGCAAACAGGAUUAGAUACCCUUGUAGUCCCUGUCUCUUAUAC